Molecule: ribosomal RNA, 440 nt
Filed under: uncultured bacterium
Lineage: Bacteria
Description: partial 16S ribosomal RNA
Rfam family: Bacterial small subunit ribosomal RNA
Source: RNAcentral
CCUACGGGAGGCAGCAGUGGGGAAUAUUGCACAAUGGGGGAAACCCUGAUGCAGCGACGCCGCGUGAGUGAAGAAGUAUUUCGGUAUGUAAAGCUCUAUCAGCAGGGAAGAAAAUGACGGUACCUGAUCAAGAAGCCCCGGCUAACUACGUGCCAGCAGCCGCGGUAAUACGUCGGGGGCAAGCGUUAUCCGGAUUUACUGGGUGUAAAGGGAGCGUAGACGGCAGCACAAGUCAGGAGUGAAAUGCCGGGGCUUAACCCCGGAACUGCUUUGGAAACUGUGCAGCUAGAGUGCAUGAGAGGUAAGUGGAAUUCCAAGUGUAGCGGUGAAAUGCGUAGAUAUUAGGAGGAACACCAGUGGCGAAGGCGGCUUACUGGACUGUAACUAACGUUGAGGCGCGAAAGCGUGGGGAGCAAACAGGAUUAGAUACCCCAGUAGUC